CCCUUAGAUGUUCUGGGCCGCACGCGCGCUACACUGAUGCAUUCAACGAGCACCCGCUGGGCCGAGAGGUCCGGCUAAUCUUUGAACGUGCAUCGUGCUGGGGAUAGAUGAUUGCAAUUAUUCAUCUUCAACGAGGAAUUCCUAGUAAACGCAAGUCAUCAGCUUGCAUUGAUUACGUCCCUGCCCUUUGUACACACCGCCCGUCGCUCCUACCGAUUGAAUGGUCCGGUGAAGCGUUCGGACCGUGGCCUUUGGACGGUUCGCCGUCUGUUGGCUGCGGGAAGUUCGUUAAACCUUAUCAUUUAGAGGAAGGAGAANUCGUANCA
This 326-nucleotide ribosomal RNA is filed under the name uncultured eukaryote. RNAcentral describes it as "partial 18S ribosomal RNA". It matches the Rfam family "Eukaryotic small subunit ribosomal RNA", at positions 1470 to 1796 of the family's 1831-position model. The record is from RNAcentral.